Molecule: long non-coding RNA, 476 nt
Organism: Trichomycterus rosablanca
Lineage: Eukaryota; Metazoa; Chordata; Actinopteri; Siluriformes; Trichomycteridae
Exons: 2
Source: RefSeq, a predicted model, not a curated record
GCCGGAAAGCUAUCGGAAUAUGCUAAAGCUAAAUGAGCCGGCGAGGGUCGCGGUGGGCACAGUUCAGUGGGUGAAAGGCAGGAAACACCUUGGACAGGUCACCAGUCCAUCAGGGCAAUUCAGUAUCUCCAAUUCCUGACUGCAUGUCUUUGUACGGAAGGAAACCGGAGCAUCAGGACGAAAACCCACACAGACACAGGAAGAACAUGCAAACUCCACACAGAAAGAACCAGACUCACUUCACCUGGGAAUCGAACCCAGGACCCGAGCCACCGUGCCGCCCAGAUGUUACUUUAAUUAAAUUUGGUUUCCUUGGUGGCUUGUUAUUAAACUCCUGUUUCUCCAUAAUGAUGUUAAAUGUACUUAAAAAGCUAAUGUUUAAUUCAGGUGCUUAAACAUUUUUGUAAAUAUUAAUAUUUAUAAUAAAUAUAAAGUGGAGUGCUCUAAAUACCAGAAUAAAUGUUUUUCAGCCCAAA